Non-coding RNA from Glossina pallidipes, 47 nucleotides. The record is from Rfam. Lineage: Eukaryota; Metazoa; Arthropoda; Insecta; Diptera; Glossinidae.
CUAUCGGUUUUAUUAAAAACCCCAUCAUACUUGAGAAAUUAAUGUUU